GACGAACGCUGGCGGCGUGCUUAACACAUGCAAGUCGAACGGAAAGGCCCUGCUUUUGUGGGGUGCUCGAGUGGCGAACGGGUGAGUAACACGUGAGUAACCUGCCCUUGACUUUGGGAUAACUUCAGGAAACUGGGGCUAAUACCGGAUAGGAGCUCCUGCUGCAUGGUGGGGGUUGGAAAGUUUCGGCGGUUGGGGAUGGACUCGCGGCUUAUCAGCUUGUUGGUGGGGUAGUGGCUUACCAAGGCUUUGACGGGUAGCCGGCCUGAGAGGGUGACCGGCCACAUUGGGACUGAGAGAGGGCCCAGACGCCUACGGGAGGCAGCAGUGGGGAAUAUUGCACAAUGGGCGGAAGCCUGAGGCAGCAACGCCGCGUGCGGGAUGACGGCCUUCGGGUUGUAAACCGCUUUCGCCUGUGACGAAGCGUGAGUGACGGUAAUGGGUAAAGAAGCACCGGCUAACUACGUG
This 468-nucleotide ribosomal RNA is filed under the name uncultured bacterium. Its description in RNAcentral is "partial 16S ribosomal RNA". It matches the Rfam family "Bacterial small subunit ribosomal RNA", at positions 28 to 507 of the family's 1533-position model. The record is from RNAcentral.